AUUGAACGCUGGCGGCAUGCUUUACACAUGCAAGUCGAACGGCAGCGGGGGCUUCGGCCUGCCGGCGAGUGGCGAACGGGUGAGUAAUGCAUCGGAACGUACCCAGUCAUGGGGGAUAACUACGCGAAAGCGUAGCUAAUACCGCAUACGCCCUGAGGGGGAAAGCGGGGGAUCGCAAGACCUCGCGUGAUUGGAGCGGCCGAUGUCGGAUUAGCUAGUUGGUGGGGUAAAGGCCUACCAAGGCGACGAUCCGUAGCGGGUCUGAGAGGAUGAUCCGCCACACUGGGACUGAGACACGGCCCAGACUCCUACGGGAGGCAGCAGUGGGGAAUUUUGGACAAUGGGGGCAACCCUGAUCCAGCCAUGCCGCGUGAGUGAAGAAGGCCUCGGUUGUUAAAGCUCUUUCUAGACGGAAAGAAAAACGGACCCCUCCUAACUACGGGGGUGGAGUGACGGUACUGUCAGAAGAAGCACCGGCUAACUCGUGCCAGCAGCCGCGGUAAU
Molecule: ribosomal RNA, 504 nt
Filed under: uncultured bacterium
Lineage: Bacteria
Description: bacterial SSU rRNA
Rfam family: Bacterial small subunit ribosomal RNA
Source: RNAcentral